RNAcentral lists this long non-coding RNA (1060 nucleotides) under Capra hircus (goat). Its description in RNAcentral is "lncRNA (ENSCHIG00000007075.1)". The record is from RNAcentral. Lineage: Eukaryota; Metazoa; Chordata; Mammalia; Artiodactyla; Bovidae.
UCUCAAAAUCACAUGAUUAAAUCUGUCAGGCAGAUACAUUCCUGCUCCUUAGGGGUUCAUUUCAGGUGGAAACCAGGGGAUGGUGUUUGCACUGGAAUAAGCUGUUUCCCACUUGAGUGGCAAUGCAGUGAUCGGGGACCCAGAAAUAACAUACAUAGCAUCGAGGCCCAGAGAAGGAAGUCAUCUGCCUACAAGCCAGGGAGCUGGCACCGGGGAGGACUUUCUGCCCUCAGGCCGCUGCAUUCUUGGGCGUUGGUUCUCCUACUGGUCUACUCACUGAGAGGUUCUGGGUAGAGACGCGCAGUGUCUUCCCAGGGGCAAGAACCCUGCUGGUCAAAUGGGAAACAGACUUGCAACCCUGCUGGUCCCAAAAGCCAGUGUGGAUGAGAGUGAGGACACAGUGGCACAGCCAGUCUCCACCCUGGCUGCCUCGUCCCUCCAAACACAGAAAACACAAGUGCCGAUUUGCAGGGGACACACCUGCUGGUCCUUCUCCUCAAGGAUGCAGGCAAGAGAAAGGCGAGGUGAUCAGAAAGAGAAGAAGAAGUUGUAGUACUCUACAGACCACUGAAGGAGCCAAGAGACCAGAUAUUGCUGCCUUUAAGACUAGUUUGAUCUUGGACAGGUGGCUUACAUUCUUCCCAGAGGAAAGAUGGGGUCUGACUUGGAGCUGCCUUGCUCCUGGGUCAGGAGGAGUCUGCAGGGGCACAGGAUUCCAGCAGAGCAACCUGUGCCCAAGAGUAGGGAUGAUUCAGGCCCCUUCCAAGCCUGGGGUGCACCAUCAUCUCCUCAGCUAAUUCUCUCUCCCUUGUUCAGUUCUUAAAAGCAAAUAGGAAAGUGGCUUUACCUUGCUUUUAAGUGGAAAUUUAACUGGGUACACAUAGCUUAUUCUGAGAACCAGCUGGAAGCAACAGAAAGCAGCUGAGGGGAAGAAUCUACAGAGGUGUCUAGUGAGUUUGCUUUAUCAUUAAAUAGUACAAAACUCUGUGCUUCUGUCUCCCUCCUUUUUCUGUGAAGUUUGGAACCGACAUUUUAGUAAUUGCAGAAUCUCAACCUCUCU